Small nucleolar RNA from Nannospalax galili (Upper Galilee mountains blind mole rat), 130 nucleotides. RefSeq annotates it as small nucleolar RNA SNORA3/SNORA45 family. NCBI's taxonomy places the organism in Eukaryota, Metazoa, Chordata, Mammalia, Rodentia, Spalacidae. The transcript has a single exon. The record is from RefSeq and is a predicted model, not a curated record.
ACUUGGGAAAGUCACAUCCUGACAUGGUUACUUGUCCUGGUGUGCUAGAAUUCUGGAAGAGGAUCUGCUGGUGUUGGUUCACUAAUGAGGGCAGUCAGUGUCCAUAAUGGUGCUGUGAUCAGAAAUAUGU